This 232-nucleotide ribosomal RNA is filed under the name uncultured bacterium. RNAcentral describes it as "partial 16S ribosomal RNA". It matches the Rfam family "Bacterial small subunit ribosomal RNA", at positions 99 to 334 of the family's 1533-position model. The record is from RNAcentral.
CGGACGGGUGAGUAAUGUCUGGGAAACUGCCUGAUGGAGGGGGAUAACUACUGGAAACGGUAGUUAAUACCGCAUAACGUCGCAAGACCAAAGAGGGGGACCUUCGGGCCUCUUGCCAUCGGAUGUGCCCAGAUGGGAUUAGCUAGUAGGUGGGGUAACGGCUCACCUAGGCGACGAUCCCUAGCUGGUCUGAGAGGAUGGCCAGCCACACUGGAACUGAGACACGGUCCAG